This 120-nucleotide small nuclear RNA is filed under the name Mus caroli (Ryukyu mouse). The record is from RNAcentral. Lineage: Eukaryota; Metazoa; Chordata; Mammalia; Rodentia; Muridae.
CCAUGCCUUCCUUGCUUUCUUCCACCACAUAUAUACACUAAAAUUGGAAUGAUGAUGAGAAGAUUAGCAUGCUCCCCUCAAAAUAAUGACAUGCAAGUUUGUGAAGUUUUCCAUAAACAA